AUGUUAGAACUUCUCUUAAUCCUUCCAUAAUAAGCGUUUCGAUACGAAACCCUGGAAUUUACGAACACUCAUUUCCGAUACCGGGAGGUUUGCCGAAACUGAAUCCCUGGUUUUUCUAGAGCUAUUAAAUUAACCUACGAUGAAGACUUUUUCUAUUCGGAGCUUCAAACGAAGAUUCCACACGCGUACGCCCACUCUAAUCGACGUUCCAAAUCUUUCUUCAGAAGGAAGUUUCUGCAUCCGAGGUCAAAAUCAAAAAGUGCAUAAAGUGCAUUUUAAGCCGGUAAACAUUAAAAAACAAGCCUCGAAAACCAAAAAUCAUACUGAUAUUUCUUUGAAGAAUUAGAAGAUUCAGCGGGAAGAAUAUCGUGUCUAAAAUACGUUGGAAUCAGUAGGAAAAAUCGGAAUCGCGAAAUAAUCAUUUUCUCACGUUUUCAAUUUCCUAUAAAUAGGACUUCAAAAAAUGAAAAAAAUCAAAAAAAAAAAAAUCACACAACACACACACACGGCCGUGAACUUCUUGGAGGAAAGGAAGAGAUUUGAUUUUUUCCGGUUCUUGCCUGAUCGUCGCUCUGUUCGUUGCUACGCGUAGGCCUCAAGGUUCACAACUUCCAUGCCCAACUUCUACUCACGAAGGCGAUGGUGAGCCUUCCGCUGAAGCUUAGCUGUUCGAGUCGGAGACCGUGAUCGUGGGCGGUCGAGUAGAGGUGGAUGAAGCAGUUGCUUCUCCCUUUUUGGUGGACUAUGUUUGAGUUUCUUUUUCCUUAUGAAAACUCUGUUGUUUAAACCUUAUUUCGCCACUGUUAAAGUGUGCGUACUUAUUUUGGAAACUUGUUCAUGAUGAUGUAAGACACUAUUAUUAUUAUGUCGGGAACGGGUUGUUGAAUAAAGUCUAUGUUAUAUAUUCAA
Lotus japonicus is the source of this 909-nucleotide long non-coding RNA. RefSeq lists it as uncharacterized. The record is from RefSeq and is a predicted model, not a curated record. The transcript is spliced from 2 exons. NCBI's taxonomy places the organism in Eukaryota, Viridiplantae, Streptophyta, Magnoliopsida, Fabales, Fabaceae.